RNAcentral lists this ribosomal RNA (375 nucleotides) under uncultured eukaryote. RNAcentral's name for it is "partial 18S ribosomal RNA". It matches the Rfam family "Eukaryotic small subunit ribosomal RNA", at positions 592 to 976 of the family's 1831-position model. The record is from RNAcentral.
CAAUAGCGUAUAUUUAAGUUGUUGCAGUUAAAGAGCUCGUAGUUGGAUUUCGGUUAAGAGCGACCGGUCCGCCGUUUGGUGUGCACUGGUUGGUUUUAACUUCCUGUAGAGGACGUGCUCUGGGUUUAACGACCUGGACUCGGAGUCUACGUGGUUACUUUGAAAAAAUUAGAGUGUUCAAAGCGGGCUUACGCUUGAAUAUUUCAGCAUGGAAUAACACUAUAGGACUCCUGUCCUAUUUCGUUGGUCUCGGGACGGGAGUAAUGAUUAAGAGGAACAGUUGGGGGCAUUCGUAUUUCAUUGUCAGAGGUGAAAUUCUUGGAUUUAUGAAAGACGAACUUCUGCGAAAGCAUUUGCCAAGGAUGUUUUCAUUAG